RNAcentral lists this small RNA (110 nucleotides) under Brugia malayi. RNAcentral's name for it is "sRNA Bm15976". The record is from RNAcentral. Lineage: Eukaryota; Metazoa; Nematoda; Chromadorea; Rhabditida; Onchocercidae.
AAUAGCAGCACUUGCGGUUGCAACAAGACAAACUCAUAGCAACACUUGCUGAUGACAUAGAGAUCAUCAGUACUGCUGCUGCCGCUGCUAUUAUUUAAGUCUUUCCUUCC